This 468-nucleotide ribosomal RNA is filed under the name uncultured bacterium. Its description in RNAcentral is "partial 16S ribosomal RNA". It matches the Rfam family "Bacterial small subunit ribosomal RNA", at positions 28 to 507 of the family's 1533-position model. The record is from RNAcentral.
GACGAACGCUGGCGGCGUGCUUAACACAUGCAAGUCGAACGGAAAGGCCCUGCUUUUGUGGGGUGCUCGAGUGGCGAACGGGGGAGUAACACGUGAGUAACCUGCCCUUGACUUUGGGAUAACUUCAGGAAACUGGGGCUAAUACCGGAUAGGAGCUCCUGCUGCAUGGUGGGGGUUGGAAAGUUUCGGCGGUUGGGGAUGGACUCGCGGCUUAUCAGCUUGUUGGUGGGGUAGGGGCUUACCAAGGCUUUGACGGGUAGCCGGCCUGAGAGGGUGACCGGCCACCUUGGGACUGAGAUACGGCCCAGACUCCUACGGGAGGCAGCAGUCGGGAAUAUUGCACAAUGGGCGGACGCCUGAUGCAGCAACCCCGCGUGCGUGAUGCCGGCCUUCGGGUUGUAAACCGCUUUCGCCUGUGACGAAGCGUGCGUGACGGUACUGGGUAAAGAAGCACCGGCUAACUACGUG